UAUUUUUUGCAAAUAUUUUAACAUAAUAUUAGAACAACUAAUCAUCUGAAAAUACCAAAUGCUUCUGGAAAGAAUGCAGCCUAUUUUUCAUUCGUUCCAUAUCGCAGUCUGCAUCAGGUCAAGAGGGAGAUCGGUACAAUCAGGCUUCUGCAUCACCCUAACAUAGUAGAGAUAUACAAGGUAAUUGCGGCAAAGAAGAAGAUUUAUCUUGCAGUGGAGUAUAUCUCUGGAGGACAGCUUUCUGAUAAGUUGUUCCAUCUUAAAAGGUUAGAUGAAAGAGGGGCAGGGAAAUACUUUCAGCAGUUAAUUGAUGCAGUGGAUUACUGCCAUGGCAGAGGUCUCUACCAUAGAGGUUUCAAGGUUAGAAUCCAACUUAUGAACUGGUAAUAUCUUGCUGCAUUUAAGAGUCCCCCCUUUUUUUUCUUUUUGGGAGAUUGGAUUAUUUGACAUUGGAUUCUUAACAAUGUCACCGUAAACAGUCAGAGAAUCUGCUAAUAGAUAUUUUGGGCUCACCGUGUUGAGAAAGGUGAGGAUAGAUCUCUGGUUUCCAAUAGACCAGCUUAGGUACUUAAUUUAUGCAAUACUUUGGAGCUAGAAGUUUUCAGAUUUUGUUCUGAUGAUUUUCUUCGUAUUGGAUGCAUUCAGCCAGGAGACUUGCUAUCAAGUGCCUGCGGAUCGCCAAGUUACGUGGCUCCUGAGGCAUGAAAUGACGUAUUCAAAUUUAAAAUACCAUUAAAUAGAUGGAAAGUUUGAUUUGUUUGGUGCCUUCGUGGCUUGGCGAUGGAAUAGCUACCGAGAUGUGCAACUAAAACUUAUGCUGAGCAGGGGUGUAUCGGAUUGGGUAUG
Phoenix dactylifera (date palm) is the source of this 846-nucleotide non-coding RNA. Lineage: Eukaryota; Viridiplantae; Streptophyta; Magnoliopsida; Arecales; Arecaceae. The record is from RefSeq and is a predicted model, not a curated record.